AGAAAAUGAAUAAAGGAAAGGUAAAUAAGAACAUAACUAUAUCUAACAACUGUUCAAGAAGCUGGAAGAAUCACACAUCACACACAGCUGUACCGAUGCCAGGUCUGCGAGCUGGAAGGCUGAGAGCUCCAGGUUCUCUGCUCUCUACCCUUUGCCCAGGUCGACUUCAAGGCAGGAACCCCUGGGGACUUUGCUGGGCUUCCAUGUUCAUUGACAGAAUUCCUAUAGCAUCUUCCCCCCAGGGCACAGCCUUCUCUGCAGAAAGAGAACCAACCAGGGCCGAGCAGGAGGCCAGCACUACGGCUAACCACACGUGAUCUCAGGCAGAUCACUUCGUCUUAGGCUUCCCAUCCUUUCAACAGGAAAAAUUACACCUCGCAGAGCAACAGAGACGGUCAGGCAGGUCAAUAUACCUUAAAACAUGUGGGAAUAAAAGUCCAGGAUGCUCUUUAUAACAGGAUACUCUGUGUAAUAUAAACACCGUUUGAAUGAUCACAGGAAUAUGGAAAUCAUUUAAAUGGCUUUUUUUUAAACUAAAAGACUAAAGUUCAGUUAGAAACAGCUCAUCCUUUCUACUGAAAGUUUUAAUUAUCUCACUCCUUUUGUCCAAGAGAGGCAACAUUUCUGAUGAGGACACCUAAGAAAUAUCUACAAAAAUCUGUACAAACAACCAAGGGAGCAAUAACCAAAAUACUUUCAGGCUGGAAAGGGAGAAAAGGGUUACGUGACAACACAGAACCCACUGUCACUAAUAGCCCUGGGACCAUGCCUUUGAUCCACAUGGCGAAAGGUGUGUUCACUUUUCCAUCAUCCCUUAAAAGGUGCUCACAUUUUGAGUCAUAUCUUUAUGGCCACAAUUUUUCCUCUUUACAAGCACUUUACUAAGUACUAUAAGUACCAUGUGCUACAUACACAUUUAUAAUGAGUUUCAAUAGCUAGUAAUGACUAAUCAUAAAUACUUGAAUUUUUAUUUCUGCUCCAAUCUAGAAGUUAGGUCAAGUUUAGGUUAAGCAUGAGCUUUACCAGCCAAAUCAACCCUCAGCAGCCUCCUAAAGACAUCACUCUCUGCCAGCGGUGGCUGGUCAGACCCAUGGGGCUUGCUCACUCCUAGCCUGGCCCCUCCAUUGCAGUUUGGCCCAGGGAUAGACAUGCCAGGCUCUCCAGAGUUCCAGAUGGGAGGUGAGUUCCAGAUGGGAGCUUGAUGCCACGGCUGGUGUCUGCAGAUUCCUUGUGAGCAUGACUUUGCAGCCUGGCUGGCAUCUGCCAGGAGUGCACCCCUUCACACAUAUUCUGGCACACUCAGAGAUCCUGGGUGAGGGCAGUUCUGUAGCAUUCCCCAACUGACCUCCUGCUGGCACUACACGUCACUGAAUGUGGGGACAGAGUUGGUUCCAGAGCAGUCAAAUGGGGCAAGGGAGGUCACAAGGGGAGUGUCAUUUGGUAUGCAAGUAAGGGGUGUGGGAAAAUCCUAAGACAGCUCCCCAGUAUGGCAAGUCUAGCCAUCAUGCUGGUUUUCAGAGCCAACAGUUGCUUCUAAGAGCUCCUGCUAGGGGUCCUCGGAACACAUUUGCCUUCCCUUUUAGAUAUCAAGGUUUGUUGUCUGGCCAGGUAGAGUCAAUUUCCCAUCCAGUGCUUCUAAUAAGCUAUAAAUUAUAUUUCCUUCAGGAUCCUGGCCACAGUAUAUACAUUGUUCCACCUGGUCAGAGCAUGUUAAAUUAUAUGAUGGCUCUUUGCCUGUAAGUAUGCUGAGAUUUUGAACACAAUACACUGGGUAAGCCUUGGCUCUGGAUAAGUCUUAGAAUGGUUCUUCAUUCUUUAGCCACUGAGAUAACAUGUGUUUUUAGCUUAAUAAGAAAACAAAACAAAACAUGUAGUUUUUCCAGGCUGCCUGGUCAAGAGGAUCUUAUCAAAAUCCAGAAAACGCAUAGCAAGUGGCCUCGGCUGCCAGGCACAGGGCUUCAGGUGAGAUGCCAAAAUCACUAAGGCUGUAUUGCAAGCUUAAAAACACCACUCACAUGCAAGCCUUUUGAAAACUUGAACAUUAUAUAGACCUUAAAAAUAAGGGGUCCAAAGUAAAUAAAAAUAUGUGGCUCACAGAAGCUACAGUCAAUUCCUCUUACAUGACUCAGGUUACACAUCACCAAGGGAAGCAAGCAGUGUGAGUGUAGAAAGAUGCUUAUAAAUAGGUAAACUUCCUCUAGAUUGUUUUGGUUAAGGAAUUUUGGGGCUUUCUGGCAGUUGUUAUAAACCCAACUGUUUCCAGGACCAGUUCUACUUUUUCUAGGCAAAGAACAGUCAAGCCAAUCUACCAUCUUCGGCAUAGAGUUCAAGAAGUUUCUCCCAAAUGCAGUGUGAAUAGAGCUCAAUCAGGUUCUUAGCUGCACCAGGAUUCCAAUGAGAGAUUUUCUAUCCUGACUUUGAUCCUUAUGCCCACCUCCUCUUGGUUUCAAUUAUAUAUAAGGGGAGGCUAGGAGUUGCUGGUGGGGUUAUCAUCCAAUGAUCUAAACAUUCACCUAUAAGGAAGACCAAAGCAGAGUUCAUAAGUAAUAAUUAAAUAGCUUCUUGGUUGAUCCAUGUUCCUGUCAUCACACUCCAUUCAUGUGCUUAUUCAAUGACUUGUAUAUUCCUGAGUACCUAUUAAGUGUCACUCUGUUUUAAGCAAUGAUUCGGUACUUGCUGUCAAAAAGCUAUGUAGUUGUACAAGGAAGGAGGACAGAAAAAAAAACAAACAAUCAACCUUUACAGCAGGAUGUAGUAAGUACAACAACACCAGGGGCAAAGGGAAGGAUGAAUAAAUUUUACCUUCAAAAGAGGGAAAAGUUCUGUGUCUGCAAGUGAGAAAGAAAAAAAAAUAAAAUAAAAAAUAAAAAAAAAAAAAAAAGAGGGAAAAGGCUUUAUAGGAGGGGUACCAUUUGAUGAUUGAGUCUGAAGGCUAACGGAAUGCCCCUAGGAGAAUGGAGAACAGCACCUUUGGAAAUGGUCUUCCCAAUACAGAUAUGCUAUUCAUGAAGCCAUGACAAUGGCCAUCCUUCAGCCAUUCUGGCCUUCCAGAACUAACACAGCAAACAAAAGAUACCUUGAAUAUAGACUGUCCAUAAGCUUUCCAACCAAGGAGUUAGUGUGAAACUCCUAACUGGUCUUUCUGAGGAGCUAGAUUCAGACAGAAAUGCAUUUCAUUUACCAAGAUCUUUUCCCAAAAUCAUAGCCUUGGCUAAACUUGGUCACUGCUAAAUUCUCCAUCAAUCAGGUGGCUGGACACAUAAGGAGCUUUUGGCACUGGGCUGUAGGAGUAGCACUUGCAAGUGUGCUGGUAUCCUGGGAAGGGAUGAUAUUAAAGUCAGAAGGAGAGUUAAAAGAGCAGACUCUUUGAAGACUUUCCUCAUCUUGCCAACUCCAAUAGACGCACUGACUCAUUAUUACCGAGAACACCUUCAGAAGCAGAGCGGCAACAUUGGGUGCGGAGCUGGGGUGGGGUGGGCGCUGUGGCUGUUUUAGCUCGCCUGGAGGCAUCAGAGCUAACUGCCUGGUGCCGCUUGGACUGCCUACCUUCUGUAUGAGGAGUUGACAAACAAGCGUGAAAGAGCCAUAGCUGGAGAAUACAGAAUUAGAUGAGGGCUAAAGUGAGCUGCUCCCUUGGUCACAAGAUUACUAUUAACUCUACAAGAUUCAUAAAUGGGAAUGAAUUCAGGGGAAAAUGGAUAAGAAAGGUUGCUUGGGCACUAGAGGCAGCAAGAAUAAUAUUAUAGGAAUUUUAAAGCUGACCACAGGAACAAAGCCAGUGCCUAGUGGAUCUGGGAGUGAUCAGAAGAAGCAGAGAUAGUAAGUUGUUAGCCUGCUCUUACAAGAAUCCUAAUAGUGAAAGGAAGGUAAGUUGUAAGGCAGCACGAAGAGGCAAGGGCAGGGUCAACAAUAGCUUUGAUUUACUUUUUUCCCUAAGUACUGAGGAGAAGCAUUUUCCACCAAAGGCAAAGGACAGGUGGGUAGGGAGGAGCUGAGGGAAGUAACAAUCAGAGGAACAAGAGGAGCUGGGACAGGAUCGGGUCAAGAGGACAGGAUACUGUGAUAGCCUUGGCGGGGAGAAGGGACUGCUGGUCAGGGAAACACAAGGAAGUUGAAAAAUGACAUCUGUAAACAGUUACACUUUGUGGUGCAGGGGAGAGAAGAUGAGAGAUACUUCUAGGUUUGGCUGUUUUUCUUUUUAUCAGUGAAGUAGAUAGUGACAUCGGUUGAGAGGGGAGUGUUGUAAGGUUGGACACAAAUGGAAAAGUGUGAAAGGAUGGGAGAAGAAGGAAUGCAGUGGUGAGUCGAAGGAUCCACAGCUACUGUUCUGCUUUAGAGUACUCACAAUCUAUUCAGCAAGCAACCCUGGUACGAUGCCACUUUAUUAAAUCCCACUAUGUAAAAGAGGCACGAGAGCCUCUCUUCAAGGAACUGAUAGACAGGAUCACCGGUGGUAGGGGUCAGAGAUGGCAUAAUUUUAGCUUCUAAAUGAUGCUGGGGAACAUGAUGGGCAGGCACGCUGGGUGGGUUGGCUAGAGGUACCUACAGGAAAUUGCGGACAGCCAGCACCCUUGAGCAACCACAUUGUUGCCUUUCCAGUGGGCUUGAAAAACCUCUCUGCUCGGACUCAAGGUUGGGUGCAUGGCUCUGGAGUGACCAGAAGUUGUCAUUUGUGAUUGAUGUCAUCAUCCCCAUAACCAACACUUAUGAAGUGCUUUCUAAGUACUUUACAUAUAUUAUUUAUCUAUAUUUUACAGUCAACUGAAUCCCAGGAAGGUUAAAUAAAUUAUCCAAGGUUACACAGAGAUGAGAUAUGAACCCAAGGAGUCUAGAUCCAGGAUUCAUGCUCUUAACCUAUAGAAGCAGCAUUCACAGAAGCUGCUGCCUACUUCUCCAACUUUCGACGCAGCCCAAGAUGAAAGCAAGGCAAGUCAGUGCCUGGAGUUAGGACGCCUGUGUGUAUUUGCUGCUCUUCUGGCCCAAGUGGCCAGGCUACUAGAUCACCCAUUUGAGCACCAGAUGACAUAGAAUAAAGUCUCACAUUAGCAGCUUGAGUUCAUUCCACAUUCUACUGCAGAACACAAGCCAACUGCAUGGGAGGUCCAUGGUGAUUCCAUUUUCUUUGUGACUUUGGGUUGGAAUUUGGCUUAAACACCGAGAGUGCUGGAAGCCAGGGAGUGGUGUGAAGAUGCUGAUAGUGCUGGGAUUACUGUUCCUGGGAAAAUGAAGUCCUGCGUGGCGGGAAGUGGUCCCCCAGGGGCAGCAGGCAGGUGCCGGCUCCCUCACCUGCCUGGGAGCAAACCUGUGGCUGCACCACCCCAGGCUGCCCUGGCCAGCAUGGCCUCAUAGUGGUCCACAGAAGGGCUUCAGGGAAUCAGAUCCAGAGGAAAAGGUUUUCCCACAAAACUCCUAUUUGUAACUUUUCAGAAUUAAAAUGUUCAACAUGCA
Non-coding RNA from Microcebus murinus (gray mouse lemur), 5448 nucleotides. The record is from RefSeq and is a predicted model, not a curated record. Lineage: Eukaryota; Metazoa; Chordata; Mammalia; Primates; Cheirogaleidae.